UGGGUGCAUUAUGAAAAAAUACCCGGGUGUUCUAUGCCAAAUUUUAACCAGAAUUCUACAUGCUAAUUUGUUUAGAAAAAAAUGAAUACAUGUGAAUGAAUUUUGAGUUAGGGAAUAUAAAUGAUAACUGGAUGGCAUUUUACAGAAUCCUUGGGUGUCCCAGUUAUUUAGAACAGUGAGUCCUACACUGAAAACAAUAGGAAAACACUCUUAUAAGCCAUACCUUCAUUUUGCCAAUUAAAUUUUAUUAUUAAAUAAUUUUUUCCUAUGUUUUCUAAAAGAGAUAAG
This 288-nucleotide long non-coding RNA is filed under the name Homo sapiens (human). RNAcentral's name for it is "HSALNT0000015". Lineage: Eukaryota; Metazoa; Chordata; Mammalia; Primates; Hominidae. The record is from RNAcentral.